Oncorhynchus tshawytscha (Chinook salmon) is the source of this 2415-nucleotide long non-coding RNA. Lineage: Eukaryota; Metazoa; Chordata; Actinopteri; Salmoniformes; Salmonidae. The record is from Ensembl.
CUCCCUCCAUCCACUAAGACCAGAGAUCAUAUCCACUCUCUCCCUCCAUCCACUAAGACCAUAGAUCAUAUCCACUCUCUCUCUCCCUCCAUCCACUAAGACCAGAGAUCAUAUCCACUCUCUCUUUUCAUCCACUAAGACCAUAGAUCAUAUCCACUCUCUCCCUCCAUCCACUAAGACCAGAGAUCAUAUCCACUCUCUCUCUUCAUCCACUAAGACCAGAGAUCAUAUCCACUCUAUCUCUUCAUCCACUAAGAACAGAGAUCAUAUCCACUCUCUCUCUUCAUCUACUAAGACCAUAUAUCAUAUCCACUCUCUCUCUCUUCAUCCACUAAGACCAUAGAUCAUAUCCACUCUCUCUUCAUCCACUAAGACCAUAGAUCAUAUCCACUCUCUCCCUCCAUCCACUAAGACCAGAGAUCAUAUCCACUCUCUCCCUCCAUCCACUAAGACCAUAGAUCAUAUCCACUCUCUCCGUCCAUCCACUAAGACCAUAGAUCAUAUCCACUCUCUCCCUCCAUCCACUAAGACCAUAGAUCAUAUCCACUCUUUCUCUUCAUCCACUAAGACCAGAGAUCAUAUCCACUCUCUCCCUCCAUCCACUAAGACCAGAGAUCAUAUCCACUCUCUCCCUCCAUCCACUAAGACCAUAGAUCAUAUCCACUCUCUCUCUCCCUCCAUCCACUAAGACCAGAGAUCAUAUCCACUCUCUCUCUUCAUCCACUAAGACCAUAGAUCAUAUACACUAUCUCCCUCCAUCCACUAAGACCAGAGAUCAUAUCCACUCUCUCUCUUCAUCCACUAAGACCAGAGAUCAUAUCCACUCUCUCCCUCCAUCCACUAAGACCAUAGAUCAUAUCCUCUCUCUCUCUCCCUCCAUCCACUAAGACCAGAGAUCAUAUCCACUCUCUCUCCAUCCACUAAGACCAUAGAUCAUAUGCACUCUCUCUCUUCAUCCACUUAGACCAUAGAUCAUAUCCACUCUCUCCCUCCAUCCACUAAGACCAUAGAUCAUAUCCUCGCGCUCUCUUCAUCCACUAAGACCAGAGAUCAUAUCCACUCUCUAGCUCCAUCCACUAAGACCAGAGAUCAUAUCCACUCUCUCCCUCCAUCCACUAAGACCAGAGAUCAUAUCCACUCUCUCUCCAUCCACUAAGACCAUAGAUCAUAUGCACUCUCUCCCUCCAUCCACUAAGACCAUAGAUCAUAUCCUCGCUCUCUCUUCAUCUACUAAGACCAGAGAUCAUAUCCACUCUCUAGCUCCAUCCACUAAGACCAGAGAUCAUAUCCACUCUCUCCCUCCAUCCACUAAGACCAGAGAUCAUAUCCACUCUCUCUCUCCAUCCACUAAGACCAUAGAUCAUAUGCACUCUCUCCCUCCAUCCACUAAGACCAUAGAUCAUAUCCUCGCUCUCUCUUCAUCUACUAAGACCAGAGGUCAUAUCCACUCUCUCCCUCCAUCUACUAAGACCAGAGAUCAUAUCCACUCUCUCCCUCCAUCCACUAAGACCAUAUAUCAUAUCCACUCUCUCUCUCUUCAUCCACUAAGACCAUAGAUCAUAUCCACUCUCUCCCUCCAUCUACUAAGACCAGAGAUCAUAACCACUCUCUCCCUCCAUCUACUAAGACCAGAGAUCAUAUCCACUCUCUCCCUGCAUCCACUAAGACCAGAGAUCAUAUCCACUCUCUCCCUCCAUCUACUAAGACCAGAGAUCAUAUCCACUCUCUCUCUUCAUCCACUAAGACCAGAGAUCAUAUCCACUCUCUCUCUUCAUCCACUAAGACCAGAGAUCAUAUCCACUCUCUCCCUCCAUCUACUAAGACCAGAGAUCAUAUCCACUCUCUCCCUCCAUCUACUAAGACCAGAGAUCAUAUCCACUCUCUCCCUGCAUCCACUAAGACCAGAGAUCAUCUCCACUCUCUGGUCCAGGCUCUUACACCUGCCUUUAUCUCAUCUACAUUAUUAACCACAGUUCUCCUCCUUCCAUCUUGUUUCUGAGGAGAUGCUAAUGAAUGAGGCAGGAUGCCUGUUAAACACCUCUCUUUCCAUGGCACAGAUCUGCCAACAGUGAUUAAAGCGAAGAACAGGCCAGCAGGUUACCAUUCAUCAGGAGAGAGAAGGAGAGAACCGGGCUACAGUACAGCCACCAUCAUCAUCAACCAUCAUUUCUCAUCAUCUAUCUAACCCACCCAGAACAGAGCUGAGGCAUGGUGGUGGCCUACUUUACAGGUAGGUACUGUAGUUCACUCACAGCACAGAGACAAACAGCACGCACACCCAGCCCAGAGCCCUAGUCAUUGAGAGCUGUGAGCAGAGAGCAGUGUAGCACUCCAUAAACCUGCUCUCUCUAAGCAGAUGACUGCUUAUUCCACACACUUAUUCCUAACGGUUAAUUAGGAAAUGAAACCCAGUCA